Lagopus muta (rock ptarmigan) is the source of this 745-nucleotide long non-coding RNA. RefSeq lists it as uncharacterized. Lineage: Eukaryota; Metazoa; Chordata; Aves; Galliformes; Phasianidae. The transcript is spliced from 3 exons. The record is from RefSeq and is a predicted model, not a curated record.
GCCAUACGCUGUUACGUGAAGGAUUUGCUGCUGGUAUUUUGCACCACCUGUCGUUGCCAAACAGACUAACAGCCUGUGCUUUAAUCAUUUCUGUUGCCUUCCAGUUGUCAUCCACUUCUGUUAUCCAUUGUAUUCAGAUUCCCAAGGAGAUACAGAUCUUCGGUUAGCUGCUCCACCUGGGUCACAGAGGCCAAAACUGGUUUGAGAUGACGCUAAGUCAGAAGUGGAUGAAAAAUUUCUCAGACUGGCACUGGAAGGAAAGGUCAGUUGUUAAUUGCAUGGAUGAUGCUAACAUCUUGAGCAAGAUUCAAAUCUCAGUCCUUGGUUGAUUUGGUUUACACUACCACAACUGCAGCCUAAUCUGUUGAAGAAAGUGAAAAUUGUUUUUCUAUUCAUAAUGCAAGCUGUUUAGUACAGAGCUUUCUUCAUAUAUUUAUGUACAUCCUCGAUUAUAAUUUCUGGAUUGACAAUUGUUAUGUAAAUAAUAAAUAAUACUGAAAGGAGACAUCACCACAGCUGCUUUAUGUGAGAAGAACUUGGCUCAUGUUGAUUGGAAGUAUAUUUGAUUGUACAAAAUGAAUUAUGAUGAGUGUUUAACAACAAAAAAUCAAAGUUAAUAGCAUACAUAAUACCAGAGGAUAUAAUUUAGGGGAGUUGAUGUGUUUUAGAUGGUCAUUCAGCUGUAUUUUAUUUAUUUAUGCAAAGAUUUCUGCUACUUACAAUGCUAAUUAAUAAUCACUUGAAU